GACAGAGGUCUCAAGCGUUAGGCGGAAUCACUGGGCUUAAAGCGUGUGUAGGCGGAUCGUUAAGUGCUUUGUGAAAUCCCGCGGCUCAACCGUGGAACUGCUUGGCAUACUGGCGAUCUUGAGCCAUCUAGGGGUCGCUGGAACAAACGGUGGAGCGGUGAGAUGCGUAGAUAUCGUUUGGAACGCCUAUGGUGAAAACAGGCGACUGGGGAUGUGCUGACGCUGAGACACGAAAGCCAGGGGAGCAAACGGG
Molecule: ribosomal RNA, 253 nt
Filed under: uncultured bacterium
Lineage: Bacteria
Description: partial 16S ribosomal RNA
Rfam family: Bacterial small subunit ribosomal RNA
Source: RNAcentral